This 222-nucleotide small nuclear RNA is filed under the name Erinaceus europaeus (western European hedgehog). RNAcentral's name for it is "7SK RNA". It matches the Rfam family "7SK RNA". From Rfam's summary of the family: 7SK was discovered as an abundant small nuclear RNA in the mid-70s but a possible function has only recently been suggested. Two independent studies have found that 7SK RNA binds the CDK9/cyclin T complex (known as elongation factor P-TEFb). P-TEFb activates transcription by phosphorylating the C-terminal domain of RNA polymerase II. Lineage: Eukaryota; Metazoa; Chordata; Mammalia; Eulipotyphla; Erinaceidae. The record is from Rfam by way of RNAcentral.
GCAGGGACUAGACCUCACCACUGCAUGUACUUCCCUACUGAAGUUGUGCACUAGGUGGAAGAGGAUGGCCUUCUCCGAAUAGAGAUGAACUGGAACUUCGGUAGAGGGUAAAGGAGUAACUACGCUCCCCUGCUAGAACAUCCAAACAAGCUCUCAAUGUCCAUAAAUGGUUCCCACUCUUAUCAAUAUUAUUAAUGUUGCAAUUGUUCCCUGACGUAGUAA